UCUCCGUUGGUGAACCAGCGGAGGGAUCAUUACCGAGUUUACAACUCCCAAACCCCAGGUGAACCUUACCAAACGUUGCUUCGGCGGGAUGCCCCGGGCGCGGGCCGCAAGGCCUCAGCCCCGGAACCAGGCGCCCGCCGGAGGCCCAAACCAAACUCUUGUUUUUGUAGAAUCUUCUGAGUGGCCUUUUAGGCAAAAAAUGAAUCAAAACUUUCAACAACGGAUCUCUUGGUUCUG
RNAcentral lists this unclassified non-coding RNA (237 nucleotides) under plant metagenome. Its description in RNAcentral is "partial contains small subunit ribosomal RNA, internal transcribed spacer 1, and 5.8S ribosomal RNA". The record is from RNAcentral.